RNAcentral lists this ribosomal RNA (207 nucleotides) under uncultured bacterium. RNAcentral's name for it is "partial 16S ribosomal RNA". It matches the Rfam family "Bacterial small subunit ribosomal RNA", at positions 568 to 774 of the family's 1533-position model. The record is from RNAcentral.
CGCGUAGGCGGUUUGUUAAGUCAGCUGUGAAAGCCCCGGGCUCAACCUGGGAACUGCAGUUGAUACUGGCCGACUAGAGUACGAGAGAGGGAGGUAGAAUUCCACGUGUAGCGGUGAAAUGCGUAGAUAUGUGGAGGAAUACCGGUGGCGAAGGCGGCCUCCUGGCUCGAUACUGACGCUGAGGUGCGAAAGCGUGGGGAGCAAACA